This 1866-nucleotide long non-coding RNA is filed under the name Xyrichtys novacula (pearly razorfish). Lineage: Eukaryota; Metazoa; Chordata; Actinopteri; Labriformes; Labridae. The record is from RNAcentral.
GGUUAGGGUUAGGGUUAGGGUUGGAGCUAGGGUUAGGGUUAGGGUUAGGGUUGGAGUUAGGGUUAGUGUUGGAGCUAGGGUUAGGGUUGGGCUUGGAGCUAGGAUUUUUCUGAGUGCACUGAACCAACUCCCGAGUCUCUAGGACAUUCCUAAAAAAAUUUGAUUUUUUCCCAUAGGAAUGCAUGGGUUAGGGUUAGGGUUAGGGUUGGAGCUAGGGUUAGGGUUAGGGUUAGGGUUGGAGUUAGGGUUAGUGUUGGAGCUAGGGUUAGGGUUGGGCUUGGAGCUAGGAUUUUUCUGAGUGCACUGAACCAACUCCUGAGUCUCUAGGACAUUCCUAAAAAAAAUUGAUUUUUUUCCCAUAGGAAUGCAUGGGUUAGGGUUAUGGUUAGGGUUAGGGUUGGAGCUAGGGUUAGGGUUAGGGUUAGGGUUGGAGUUAGGGUUAGUGUUGGAUCUAGGGUUAGGGUUGGGCUUGGAGCUAGGAUUUUUCUGAGUGCACUGAACCAACUCCCGAGUCUCUAGGACAUUCCUAAAAAAAUUUGAUUUUUUCCCAUAGGAAUGCAUGGGUUAGGUUUAUGGUUAGGGUUAGGGUUAGAGCUAGGGUUAGGGUUAGGGUUAGGGUUGGAGUUAGGGUUAGUGUUGGAGCUAGGGUUAGGGUUGGGCUUGGAGCUAGGAUUUUUCUGAGUGCAAUGAACCAACUCCCGAGUCUCUAGGACGUUCCUAAAAAAAUUUGAUUUUUUCCCAUAGGAAUGCAUGGGUUAGGGUUAGGGUUAGGGUUGGAGCUAGGGUUAGGGUUAGGGUUAGGGUUGGAGUUAGGGUUAGUGUUGGAGCUAGGGUUAGGGUUGGGCUUGGAGCUAGGGUUUUUCUGAGUGCACUGAACCAACUCCCGAGUCUCUAGGACAUUCCUAAAAAAAUUUGAUUUUUUCCCAUAGGAAUGCAUGGGUUAGGGUUAUGGUUAGGGUUAGGGUUGGAGCUAGGGUUAGGGUUAGGGUUAGGGUUGGAGUUAGGGUUAGUGUUGGAGCUAGGGUUAGGGUUGGGCUUGGAGCUAGGAUUUUUCUGAGUGCAAUGAACCAACUCCGGAGUCUCUAGGACGUUCCUAAAAAAAUUUGAUUUUUUCCCAUAGGAAUGCAUGGGUUAGGGUUAGGGUUAUGGUUGGAGCUAGGGUUAGGGUUAGGGUUAGGGUUGGAGUUAGGGUUAGUGUUGGAGCUAGGGUUAGGGUUGGGCUUGGAGCUAGGAUUUUUGUGAGUGCAAUGAACCAACUCCCGAGUCUCUAGAACGUUCCUAAAAAAAUUUGAUUUUUUUCCCAUAGGAAUGCAUGGGUUAGGGUUAGGGUUAGGGUUGGAGCUAGGGUUAGGGUUAGGGUUAGGGUUGGAGUUAGGGUUAGUGUUGGAGCUAGGGUUAGGGUUGGGCUUGGAGCAAGGAUUUUUCUGAGUGCACUGAACCAACUCCCGAGUCUCUAGGACAUUCCUAAAAAAAUUUGAUUUUUUCCCAUAGGAAUGCAUGGGUUAGGGUUAUGGUUAGGGUUAGGGUUGGAGCUAGGGUUAGGGUUAGGGUUAGGGUUGGAGUUAGGGUUAGUGUUGGAGCUAGGGUUAGGGUUGGGCUUGGAGCUAGGAUUUGUCUGAGUGCACUGAACCAACUCCCGAGUCUCUAGGACAUUCCUAAAAAAAUUUGAUUUUUUCCCAUAGGAAUGCAUGGGUUAGGGUUAUAGUUAGGGUUAGGGUUGGAGCUAGGGUUAGGGUUAUGGUUAGGGUUGGAGUUAGGGUUAGUGUUGGAGCUAGGGUUAGGGUUGGGCUUGGAGCUAGGAUUUUUCUGAGUGCAAUGAACCAACUCCGGAGUCUCUAGGACGUUCCUAAAAAAAUUUGAUUUUUU